Molecule: ribosomal RNA, 253 nt
Filed under: uncultured bacterium
Lineage: Bacteria
Description: partial 16S ribosomal RNA
Rfam family: Bacterial small subunit ribosomal RNA
Source: RNAcentral
UACAGAGGGUGCGAGCGUUAAUCGGAAUUACUGGGCGUAAAGCGCGCGUAGGUGGUUUGUUAAGUUGGAUGUGAAAGCCCCGGGCUCAACCUGGGAACUGCAUCCAAAACUGGCAAGCUAGAGUACGGUAGAGGGUGGUGGAAUUUCCUGUGUAGCGGUGAAAUGCGUAGAUAUAGGAAGGAACACCAGUGGCGAAGGCGACCACCUGGACUGAUACUGACACUGAGGUGCGAAAGCGUGGGGAGCAAACAGG